GGCGGACGGGUGAGGAAUACAUCGGAAUCUACUCUGUCGUGGGGGAUAACGUAGGGAAACUUACGCUAAUACCGCAUACGACCUACGGGUGAAAGCAGGGGAUCUUCGGACCUUGCGCGAUUGAAUGAGCCGAUGUCGGAUUAGCUAGUUGGCGGGGUAAAGGCCCACCAAGGCGACGAUCCGUAGCUGGUCUGAGAGGAUGAUCAGCCACACUGGAACUGAGACACGGUCCAGACUCCUACGGGAGGCAGCAGUG
This 256-nucleotide ribosomal RNA is filed under the name uncultured Stenotrophomonas sp. Its description in RNAcentral is "partial 16S ribosomal RNA". It matches the Rfam family "Bacterial small subunit ribosomal RNA", at positions 97 to 356 of the family's 1533-position model. Lineage: Bacteria; Pseudomonadati; Pseudomonadota; Gammaproteobacteria; Lysobacterales; Lysobacteraceae. The record is from RNAcentral.